This 59-nucleotide non-coding RNA is filed under the name Tetraselmis striata. The record is from RNAcentral. Lineage: Eukaryota; Viridiplantae; Chlorophyta; Chlorodendrophyceae; Chlorodendrales; Chlorodendraceae.
UGGGGCCGUCCUCCAGCUGGCGCUGAGCACGGAGGACCCGCAGCUGCAAACGGUGCCGC